Molecule: ribosomal RNA, 254 nt
Filed under: uncultured bacterium
Lineage: Bacteria
Description: partial 16S ribosomal RNA
Rfam family: Bacterial small subunit ribosomal RNA
Source: RNAcentral
UACGGAGGGGGCUAGCGUUGUUCGGAAUUACUGGGCGUAAAGCGCACGUAGGCGGCUUUGCAAGUUAGAGGUGAAAGCCCGGGGCUCAACUCCGGAAUUGCCUUUAAAACUGCAUCGCUAGAAUUGUGGAGAGGUAAGUGGAAUUCCGAGUGUAGAGGUGAAAUUCGUAGAUAUUCGGAAGAACACCAGUGGCGAAGGCGACUCGCUGGACAAGUAUUGACGCUGAGGUGCGAAAGCGUGGGGAGCAAACAGGG